Molecule: ribosomal RNA, 113 nt
Filed under: Pteropus alecto (black flying fox)
Lineage: Eukaryota; Metazoa; Chordata; Mammalia; Chiroptera; Pteropodidae
Source: RNAcentral
GUCUACGGCCAUGCUACCCUGAACAAUUCUGUCUGCUCUCGGAAGCUAAGCAGGGUUGGGCCUGGUUAGUACUUGGAUGGGAGACCACCUAGGAAGACCAGGUGCUGUAUGCA